This 254-nucleotide ribosomal RNA is filed under the name uncultured bacterium. RNAcentral describes it as "partial 16S ribosomal RNA". It matches the Rfam family "Bacterial small subunit ribosomal RNA", at positions 524 to 776 of the family's 1533-position model. The record is from RNAcentral.
GACGGAGGGGGCAAGCGUUGUUCGGAAUUAUUGGGCGUAAAGGGCUCGUAGGCGGAUCCGCCAGUCUGACGUGAAAUCUCCACCGCUCACCGGGGAGGGGCCGUUGGAUACUACGGAUCUGGAGUUCGGCAGAGGACCAUGGAAUUUCGGGUGUAGCGGUGGAAUGCGUAGAUAUCAGGAGGAACACCGGUGGUGUAGACGGCUUUCUGGACCGUAACUGACGCUGAGACACGAAAGCGUGGGUAGCAAACAGG